GCCGACGUGGCUUAGUGGUAGAGCAUUCCCUUGGUAAGGGAAAGGUCAUGGGUUCGAUUCCCGUCGUCGGCU
Molecule: transfer RNA, 72 nt
Filed under: bacterium
Lineage: Bacteria
Description: tRNA-Thr
Rfam family: tRNA
About the family: Transfer RNA (tRNA) molecules are approximately 80 nucleotides in length. Their secondary structure includes four short double-helical elements and three loops (D, anti-codon, and T loops). Further hydrogen bonds mediate the characteristic L-shaped molecular structure. tRNAs have two regions of fundamental functional importance: the anti-codon, which is responsible for specific mRNA codon recognition, and the 3' end, to which the tRNAs corresponding amino acid is attached (by aminoacyl-tRNA synthetases). tRNAs cope with the degeneracy of the genetic code in two manners: having more than one tRNA (with a specific anti-codon) for a particular amino acid; and 'wobble' base-pairing, i.e. permitting non-standard base-pairing at the 3rd anti-codon position.
Source: RNAcentral